Molecule: ribosomal RNA, 510 nt
Filed under: uncultured bacterium
Lineage: Bacteria
Description: bacterial SSU rRNA
Rfam family: Bacterial small subunit ribosomal RNA
Source: RNAcentral
AGAGUUUGAUCCUGGCUCAGAGUGAACGCUGGCGGCAGGCCUAAUACAUGCAAGUCGAACGGCAGCACAGCAGAGCUUGCUCUGUGGGUGGCGAGUGGCGGACGGGUGAGGAAUACGUGGGAAUCUGCCCAGUCGUGGGGGAUAACGUAGGGAAACUUACGCUAAUACCGCAUGCGCCCUUCGGGGGAAAGCCGGGGACCUUCGGGCCUGGCGCGAUUGGAUGAGCCCACGUCGGAUUAACUAGUUGGCGGGGUAAAGGCCCACCAAGGCGACGAUCCGUAGCUGGUCUGAGAGGAUGAUCAGCCACACUGGAACUGAGACACGGUCCAGACUCCUACGGGAGGCAGCAGUAGGGAAUAUUGGACAAUGGGCGCAAGCCUGAUCCAGCCAUGCCGCGUGAGUGAAGAAGGCCCUCGGGUUGUAAAGCUCUUUUGUCCGGAAAGAAAAGCGCCGGGUUAAUACCCUGGUGUCCUGACGGUACCGGAAGAAUAAGCACCGGCUAACUUCGUG